Small nucleolar RNA from Mesocricetus auratus (golden hamster), 72 nucleotides. The record is from Ensembl. NCBI's taxonomy places the organism in Eukaryota, Metazoa, Chordata, Mammalia, Rodentia, Cricetidae.
UGGACCUGUGAUGACCACUGGUACUGUAGGAGUUGUGGAUCAUGACGACAAGUCUGGUAUUCUGAGGUCCAC